UUAUUGUAUCAUAUAUAGUAAAAAGUAACACCUGGACGGUGUCUCUAUCAAGACAAUAUUUCUAUUGAUAUAAUCAAUUGAUCUAAUAUAUUAGUAUUGUUUUUUAAUUAUCAAUAUCGAUUUUUAUCAAAUCUCUAAGAUGUAUUUUUUGGAGCCUUUGAAAAUUGUAUUCACUAUAAAUAUUGCUAGCAGAUUAAUAUAUGAUUCCAUUCUUCUUUCGUAAUCGCUUUAUCUUUUUUUAUCACUUCUUGUUUAUCUUUUCUUGUAACGUAGGAAUAUUUAAAUCUUUUCUUAUUUCUUCAUUACAUUAUCCACCAUGAAACGUUCACGACUGUGCAUAGUAUAAUAGAUUGUUGUACUUUAAAUUUAACUGUGUAUCCCAUAGUGGUGUUGUAUUUAUUCAGAUGAUUUUAAUUAUUGUUUUAUAGAUUUGUAGUUUACUUUCUGUGUUGAAUUUGAAUUUUUGACCGGUUAGCCAUGUUAUUUGUCUCCUUUUUCAUCGAAUUUCUUCGAUUUUGAUAGUGUUAUACUGUUUCCAUAUUACCUUAGGAAUCCAAAUGAAACCUCAUAUAAUUAAUCAUUUUGAUUAAGCGAAAUUUUUGUAUUGUUUCUUUUGAGUUUCGACUAAUUUGUUUUUGAUUUGGUUGUUUUUUUUAAAGUAAACAAGACGUGUUUGCACUUUGUAUUUACAUUGAUUUUCAUCCUUAUUGCAUAAUCAUUCUUCAGGAGAGUUAAUUUGUUCUAAUAAUAUAUUACUUGUUUAAAACAAAUGUGUCUUAAUGCUUUUGAAUACAAGGAAUAUAAGGCAAGAUAAAGGAAUAUUUCUCGGACAUACCAAGGAGAAAGAAAUGUAAACAAAUUAAAUCUAUAAACGAGCAACUGAAGUCAAUAACAUUAAAGGACAACGAUGGUUAAUAGAAAAACUGAACAGAAGAAUAUUGUAAUGUAAUAACGGAUGACAAGUGCAUGGCGAUCUUACUUGUAUUAAAUAUUAACAGUGGAGGUCUCGUAAUCAAAGAAAAGACAUUUAUUACACAGAAGGACCGACAAGAUAUCAUUUUAUUGAAAGAUAUUAACAUUGAAUUUUCUGAAGAAUAAAACAAUAAAAUCAAUGGCAAUUACUGAUGGAUACAACAUCGUUACAUUAUCCACUAUAUUAAGUAUUCCAACAAGAACAACAGUAAAUAAUAAAGCAAUGGAUGGAAACCAACAUCAUUCAAGAGAAUGAUACUCAAUUUUUUAAUCCGGUAAUGUUGGAUCAAAAAACAAAACAGGCUAUAAACGAACAUGCAAAGACUAUUCAGUAUAAAUCUUAAAAUAGUUGAAUAACAAUAUUCUACAGUGAUAGUAAAGAAUUAAUUGAACGGACUAUGAGAUAUAAACUAUAAUACUACAGCUAAUUUAAGUAGCGGAUACUAUCAAUUAUUGUUGUUGUAGAUAUACAGAUUGAAACCUAUAAUAUUUAAUGAAUUAUAUAUUUUUUAAGGUCUAUGAAGUUUCGUACUCCAUGAUAAACAUUCUGUUAUAUCUGGAUUUAUCAAGUAGUCGCAAAAUUUUUGCUUGUUUUCACGCUAGAUCCCGAUACUUUCGAAAGUUUAUAAUCCAUUUGCUUUUCAACGUUAUCUUGCAUCAAGAACAUGUGUUUCAAAUAACAAAUGAAAUGAACUCAUCGGUCCAGGAACGUCUUUAACAUAAGCCACAUUUGAUGUAAACUAAGACCUUACUAUUUACGGGGUUACAUUUUAAAAUCUUAUUUUUAACCUUACUCUUUACAAACAAUAAUAUAAAAAACAUCUUAGUAUAUUUCCUAAAACUAAGAUCAAAAAAAAUAU
Molecule: long non-coding RNA, 1832 nt
Organism: Vespa mandarinia (Asian giant hornet)
Lineage: Eukaryota; Metazoa; Arthropoda; Insecta; Hymenoptera; Vespidae
Source: RefSeq, a predicted model, not a curated record